This 522-nucleotide long non-coding RNA is filed under the name Cyanistes caeruleus (blue tit). RNAcentral describes it as "lncRNA (ENSCCEG00000006998.1)". Lineage: Eukaryota; Metazoa; Chordata; Aves; Passeriformes; Paridae. The record is from RNAcentral.
AAAAACUUUCCAAAGUCCCCCAGCCAUCAGCCUCAACACCCUGGCUCAGAGCAGAUGACAGGCAGAGGUGAUACCCAACAGCUUUUGUGCCAUGGGGUGAUACCGAAGUGGCUGAGAACCCAAAAGCUCAAGCUGAGCUGUUGAGUGGGGUCUGCUGACACGGUGGUGGCUGUUGAUACCCAGCACUGCUGCUCUUGUGGCAUCCUGUGGGAAAAUGUGGGAUCUGCCCCCUCCCCAGACCCAGGGUGCUGCUCACCCUCCUGGAGCCAGUCAGGAGGUGACAGCCCCAUCCUCCCCUCUCCUCUCAUCCAGGCUGUUAGACCCAAGUCAGGGAUAUUUUUCAAGAUCUUUUCAGCCUACCACUGGGCUCUUUUGAUGUGAACUGUCACUGAUCUGGAGUGAUGAUACAGCAAAAGUGUGACAUGAUGGGUUUCUUCACACCUCAGUCAUCCAUAUGUUGAUGAGAACAGUUCCAGAUCAAUUGUGCUGCUGUGCAUAAAACCCUCUAAAAUAAAAUAUUUU